AGUUUUUAGCAACAAGUGGCCUUAUUACAGGUAGGCUUAGACAUAAUGCUUUGGAAUGUUUCCCUUCAGUAACAAAUGGGCUAGGCCCAGUGUUUUCGUAACCCUGUUCACUUAGGAAAGAGUUGCAGCUUUCAUCAAAGAAACUGAUGAUCUAAAAGUUGAGACUGCAUGGAUGAGCUAGGCUGCUUUGUCUGGACGAAAAUGAACCCUCCAAGGCUCCAACAGCCUCAUCACACAGAAACUCGAGGAACCGGAAGCAGGAAGGAGGACCGACAGAUGAACGGAUGACCUUCUUGCUGGGCUUCCAAUUACUGAUUCUUGAAAGAAAUGAAGACCACUGACUGAUGAGGGAAUUGUCUUACUGAGAUGAGGAUGAGCCUGCCUCAAGCCAUCGUAAGCUGGGAGGACCGACGAUGGACUGACACCACCUGCUGGCCUGACCAUUACUGAUUCUUGAGGACAUGAGGACCACCAAGCUUGGACGAGACUGGACAAUGACGAAGCUGCUCUACUGGACAAGGAUGCCCUCAUCGGAAACUUGA
Long non-coding RNA from Patiria miniata (bat star), 542 nucleotides. RefSeq lists it as uncharacterized. The record is from RefSeq and is a predicted model, not a curated record. NCBI's taxonomy places the organism in Eukaryota, Metazoa, Echinodermata, Asteroidea, Valvatida, Asterinidae. The transcript is spliced from 3 exons.